Long non-coding RNA from Oncorhynchus keta (chum salmon), 1528 nucleotides. RefSeq lists it as uncharacterized. The transcript is spliced from 4 exons. NCBI's taxonomy places the organism in Eukaryota, Metazoa, Chordata, Actinopteri, Salmoniformes, Salmonidae. The record is from RefSeq and is a predicted model, not a curated record.
CACUCGGCCCUCCGUGGAAUGAGUUUGACACAUUCUUAAUUAACGCCAUGAAAAACAAUAAAACAGCCCUUUACUAAUCGUGACUUGUCAAUAUUCUAGGACCUGAAUGUUUGAUGCUUUGAAUAAGUAUGCGACUUUACCUGCCAGAAUAAAUCAUCCCUGAUGACCACAGAAAGUUGUACAAUUGCCAACAGGAAACUAGUUAACAUUUCACCAUUGAGGAUAUGCAUUGACUCCGGUGGAGUGGUCUGCAUGUCAUUCCAGUAACGCUGUGGUGAAAUCAAACGGAGAGAACAUUGUCAGCUCAGUGGAGGGGAGGCCCAGUCUGCUGCUUUCUCCCUCUGGAGAAGAGUUCUCCGUAGGCUUCACCUGCACGUUUAGUCACAAUGCCAUAGGCCUCGGAGCCAAGAGCCAGUCACUGAACACACAAGACAACCAAACCUGUAGGUCAAAGACUCCUUCUCAAAGAAGUAACACGUGCUGAGCAGCCCAAGGAUCCUGAACUUCUACAACCAGCCAAGGCACUCUGAAGCUCCCUGCUACACCGAGCUGUUUGAACAAGCUCUGUCCAGUUCUAUUGGAGAACCGUCAUCUUCUCGAGAGGGGUUCUACAGGGGUGGGCUGUGGUUCGAGCGGUUCUAAAGAGAACGUGGCCCACUGUGAGCCGGUCAGCAGGAGCAGCAUCGAGGAGGCCCUCCAGAACCAGGAUAUCGACAACCUCCUCCCUGUAUGAUGGGUAAAACAGUCCUGCAUAAAACAAGACUUCUUGAAAAUGAGGAACAUAAAUAUGAAUUGGAUUCAGUUUCAUCAAGUAACACUUGUCAGCAUCAAAUGCAACAUCAUCUAGUGCAGUUUUAUCGCUUCUUUACUUGCAGUUGAAGUACAGACUGCAGAAAAAAUUAAGUUUCCCAUGAUUGAGAGGCUUAGAUACAGCUCAGUUGGUAGAGCAUAGUGCUUGCCACGCCAAGAUAGUGGGUUUGAUUCCCGGGACCAACCAUACAUAAAAUGUAUGCAUGUAUGACUAACUCGCUUUGGGUAAAAGUGUGUGCUAAAUAUUAUAUAUAGAAGGUCAUGGUAUUGGCGCCUGUAACUUUAAUGUUCAGCCUCAACCCAUGGAUGGUUAGACAGUGGUUAGACCAGAUUCAAUGGAAAGAGGAUGGUGUGUCGUGUUGACACUAGGCAGCAGUUAGACAAUUUUAUUGGAAUAAUUAUUUUACAAUCUGCACUGUCUUCAUAUCAUGAGGUUUCUUAUAGAGUGACAAUCAUGACUAAUAAGUCAUUUAAAUAAAUUAAACUCAUCUCAUCUGUGUGGUUCCAUUUGACCUAGAGUUGUCAGUGCUCUGUGAAGAGUACAGUUUGAUAAUAAAAGAACGAACAAGCGACAUGAUGCCCCAUUUUAAAAAAAUCCAAUUCCUCUGUUUUUGGUGGUCUCGUAAAAUAGAAAUGCAAAAAAAGAACUCAAAGUACUGGACUAUAAUGUAUAUUUGAAACGGUUGAACUUGAAAAAUAAAGCUAUGUUUAAAAUAAA